GCUUGUUCGGUUUUACUCCUCCUCCCAAAAACCGGACCCAAAGCGCGAUACUCCUCCUCCCAAUCGCGCUUUAUAGAUUCGCCCACUGCACACUCCUCCUCCCAGUGCAGUGGGCGUUCU
RNAcentral lists this small RNA (120 nucleotides) under Brucella intermedia. RNAcentral describes it as "ar14". It matches the Rfam family "Alphaproteobacterial ar14". Rfam says of the family: Smr14C2 was renamed NfeR1 (Nodule Formation Efficiency RNA) highly expressed in salt stress and during the symbiotic interaction on legume roots. Lineage: Bacteria; Pseudomonadati; Pseudomonadota; Alphaproteobacteria; Hyphomicrobiales; Brucellaceae. The record is from RNAcentral.